Molecule: long non-coding RNA, 2488 nt
Filed under: Homo sapiens (human)
Lineage: Eukaryota; Metazoa; Chordata; Mammalia; Primates; Hominidae
Description: HSALNT0043605
Source: RNAcentral
CUUUGGAUAUAGCAGCUGAAAACCCUGAGAGUCCCCAAAGAGUUCCAAGCUUUCACCAUGACUGCUGGGUGGGGGUGAUGCUCCUUCAGUGUUGGUGAAGACUUAAGUCUUUUCCUCAUCUCUUUCCUGAUGUUUGGGGCCUUCUCCAUGGGCCGGAACUUGGGCCAGGGUCUUGGAAGAGCCUCUCCUCUCUCAUAACCUCACGCAAGCUGAUUAAUGAAAACAAACUUUUUUUUUUUUUUUUAGUUUACUUAUUUGACUUCCUUUAUAAACGUUUCCAACCAGGUUUUAUGCCUGGUAAUGAAAUUAUGCUUAUUUUUAAACUUCUAAAAAUGUUUCCGUCAUCCUUGAGUUGGCUGGAAUUUCAAUUUAUUCAGGCAUGGAUUAUUCAAAAAGAAGCUUGCUGUAUUUGGCAAAUGGUCACAUCUCAAAUAUGAACAUCACCCAGAGGUUACCCAGGUGAUCCCAGGCCAUCUCGGGAUGUCCUCCACAUUCCACAAUUCAGUAGCCAAAGGAUUGAACUGAUACCUGCAGAAGACUUCCUGGAUUCCCUCUCCAAGACCCACAAUCCACUAUGAUUGGAUAAGGCCUACCCUCUAAUUGAUCAGUACUACACACACACACACACACACACACACACACACUCACUCACCAAGGCUUGGUUUCCUUUUCUAAAAAACAAAAGAGGGUAAAGGAAUGCCCUCCCAAGUCUCUUUCUAAAAUUUUCAAGUUCUACAGGCUCAGUAGGCAUCCAGCCUCUCAGCACUACCCUAUGUCCCCUAUGCCCACGUAGAUAAACUUGUUUUAAUAAAAGCUAACUUCCGAUUUAGCACACAGUAUUAAGAAUUAAAGUUGGAUGAAGCUAUUACUGUUACGAAUAGCCUUGGGCUAUUUUUCAAUUCACCUAUGUCAUACGUCAAGUGAUUAAGAAAAUCAAAUGCUGUAUCCAGGAAAAUAGAACAUGAAAAGGCAGGAAUAAUGUGUGUCUUUAGGACACCCAUUUGAACACAAAAGAAUUAGGGCCCAAAUUUCACUAUAUGUCAAAUGUGAAUUUAUUUCUAUAAAAGGCUUCAGAACUCUCUAAGCUUUGCAUUGUCUGAAGAGUGCUACAGAGCCAUCUGUGACUUGUAGUGGUUGCAUCCAGAUCUUUGAAAAUGCUUUUUCUUCUUAAUCAAGUUAGGAUAUUGGAUUUCCAGAAGAGUAGGAUCUCUAUAUUUUGAUACUCGCCUGAUUUCUUAAAGCUCCUAAAGGUGCCUUUUGACUUCCUAACUGAUUCUAACAAACACAUGGCUUCAGUCUAUCUGGCUUCCCCUUUGUCUAAGAACACUGACAUUAGGAGUUGCCAAUUGGCACCUCUAUGUGGACACCUUCCACCCAGAAACCAUGUUGAGUUUUCAGGUUUCACAAUGAUGCUGAUUUGAGUCAGCACUGUUGGAAAUGAGGGUCUUUUUAAAAAUGCUUCAGAUUCCCAGUUAUUCCUACCUUUGUCUCUUCAGUCCUCAACAUCCUCUGGGGCAAAACUAGAGAGCUGCACUGUUUCUGUGUGAGGUGAACCUGCGUCCACAGAGGAGCAGCACUCACGUUCCCCACUCAAGACCUGUGUAAUUUAUUUGUAGCAAAGCUCCAUCCUUAAUUCACUAUUAUCUUGUCUUUCUGGCAUCCUCCUUCCCUCUGUGCUAUGCAUGUUGGGGUCGGUGAGGGGAGCAAUGACCCAGAGAGGGGCAUCUUUUGCAUGGCAAAGUCCUUUGGAUGAGCUGAGGAUUCCCAUCUUGACUGAAGUUUUCCAGUUUUUAAAUCUCAUCUUUCAUUUUGUGAUGCUUGAUAAAGAUAGCAAAGUAAUAUGAGUUAGUAAAUGUUAACACGUGCCGCAAAUACAAAAGCAGUUUAUUCUGUCAUUGAUAAUGGAGGAAAAUAUGCAAUAAUAGUAUUGAAUUUGCACUCAUAGGUAAAAGCCUUCAUUGCAAAGCAAAAUCUGAUUUUUGUUUGUGACCAGCAUGAAUGCUGACCUCUGCCCUUUGAAUGAUCUUUCCGUCUCCCGGAAAGUUCAUGAAAAGGUCAUGGAGCUGCGCUGACUUCCUCUGUGUGUGCAUGGACGUGUCUUUGCUAUUGAUCCAGGAAAAGACCAUUCUGUGGUUUUGUUCAUUUUAUUUUUAAUGGAAACCUAAUCAGUAAUUAUAAAAUGUUUCUAGAAGAAUUCACGCCUGAGUAAGUGAAGAAAGCUAACCUCAUUUCAUGCUGAUUAUUUAACCUUGGUCAUAACUCCCAAUUAAAUGCAUUUCUUGAACCCGUAACAAAGCAAAAUAUGGCACUUACUGGUCAGAAAUUCAAAGCAGGAGAGAGAAAAAAUGGCUUAAUAGCUGGAAAUAAAAACAUCAGUGAAUUUUUCUUAUGGAUUCCUUCAUGUCAAAUUCAUAUCAUGAGUGACUCGCAGUUUUCCCUUUAGAUCAUCUUGGCAUCAUCGAGGAGCAAAAAUAAAAAUGAUUUCUAG